Molecule: long non-coding RNA, 851 nt
Organism: Anguilla rostrata (American eel)
Lineage: Eukaryota; Metazoa; Chordata; Actinopteri; Anguilliformes; Anguillidae
Exons: 3
Source: RefSeq, a predicted model, not a curated record
UCCAGGAAAGAGCCUCGUUGAGAUUAUCUGCUUUCUCAAGGGAUACCUGGCCAAGAAAGCUACAAUUAAUGUACAACUAAGCCAGUCAUUAAUGCAUAGUUCACUAUCUCUCUUUCUCUCUUGCUCCCAUUCUCUUUCCUUCUCUUUUGCUUUCUCUCUUACUCUUGCUUUCUGUCUCUUCUCUCUCUCUCUCUCUCUCUCUCUCUCUCACAGGUAUUUUAGGCCUGUCAUCGCCAUUGAUCUACCCCACCCUCCCUGUUACACGCCUGGGAUUUGGGGAGUGAAGCUAAGCCCCGAGGGAGGAACUGAGGGGGUGCCUAUCUCCCCCUCCCCCCCCCCCCUCCCCCAAGGAGCCACUGCUGCCGUUGCUCCCAUGGGGCCGCCUGCACACAUUCCAGGGUUAAUUGUGACAUCAUUAACUGUGACAUCAUUAGCCGGACGCUGUGGCUAAUGGUCCCGGAGAGAAUGCGCUCCACAGGACUCAGCCGUCAGCGCUUCGCGUUCGCGCGGCUCCGCGGUGAGCAGGCCGACGCGCGCGUGUCCGAUCUGCAGAGAGAUCUGAUUCGCCGCUGACCGGAGAGAGCGUGUCCAGUUGAACCAGUAGCACGGCGGGGUUCCUGAGGAUCGAUCGCGCCCGGAGCGCCAGCCCGGAGCGCCAGCGGGCAAGCGGCUCGUUUCUGUGGCCUGAGCGCUGAUGUGAGCGGCUCACUUGUACGCGAGAGAGGAACAGCCUUCAUACCACUCUGUGGCAGAAAGGUACAGCAGGGCCAGUCUCAACGCUGCUGCCGCCUCUGUCUCCCAUACAAAACAGAAAGGCUUUGUUGCCAUAGUUAUGCACUGUAUUCCUUUUU